Molecule: long non-coding RNA, 274 nt
Filed under: Elaeis guineensis (African oil palm)
Lineage: Eukaryota; Viridiplantae; Streptophyta; Magnoliopsida; Arecales; Arecaceae
Description: long non-coding RNA (EGUI_LNC058251)
Source: RNAcentral
GCUAAUCUGAAGAGUCCCACUAGACUUGAACUCUAUCAUUAAUAAAAAAUUAAUUAGUGAUUAGAUCACUAAUUAGCUCAAUUUGAUUGAGCAUUAGAAUUUGGAUCAAGUUUGAUUGAAUUGGAUUAAUCAGGUCAAGUGUAAUUAGGUUAUGAGAUGACCUAAUCGGUAAGGAAGAAAUGAUCCUGAUUUGAUCGGAUCUAUGGCUUAAUUAAUUUAUUAAUUUGAUAAAAUUUAAUUGAAAUUAUAGAAGCCUAAUUAAAUUAGGUUCAUC